CCGGCGCACGGUGAGUAACGCGUAUGCAACUUACCUAUCAGGAGGGGAUAACCCGGCGAAAGUCGGACUAAUACCGCAUGAAGCAGGGGCCCCGCAUGGGGAUAUUUGCUAAAGAUUCAUCGCUGAUAGAUAGGCAUGCGUUCCAUUAGGCAGUUGGCGGGGUAACGGCCCACCAAACCGACGAUGGAUAGGGGUUCUGAGAGGAAGGUCCCCCACAUUGGAACUGAGACACGGUCCAA
RNAcentral lists this ribosomal RNA (239 nucleotides) under uncultured bacterium. Its description in RNAcentral is "partial 16S ribosomal RNA". It matches the Rfam family "Bacterial small subunit ribosomal RNA", at positions 95 to 334 of the family's 1533-position model. The record is from RNAcentral.